AAUAUUCCAAUAAUUUUUUAUAUUUUUUAUUAAAAUUAUUUCAAAUUAUUACAAUCGAACUUAAAAUUAAUAUAUAAUUAUAAAAUGUGGUAGCAAAAUAAUGAUAUUAUUAUGAAGAGUCCUAUACUCUUAUGAGUGUAGACAUUUUUUUACUCAAAAGUUUUCGACCGUUAGAUCUAUUAUUUUAUUUUUUUCACCCGUUAAAUUAUACUAUUCAACCAACUAUUCAUUCAACCCUAGAGACCACUAUCAUCCUAACCAAGAAUCAUUAUCAUCCUAGCCGCACAUCUCUUCAUCCAACAACCGAAAACUUAUGAGUAUAAAUAGGUCUUAUAUUCAUAAGAGUAUAGUAACCCUAACUUUAUUAUAGAUUUCUAGAUAAUAGAAAUAUUAAAUUAGACCUAUGUU
RNAcentral lists this long non-coding RNA (408 nucleotides) under Ananas comosus (pineapple). RNAcentral describes it as "long non-coding RNA (ACOM_LNC011571)". The record is from RNAcentral. Lineage: Eukaryota; Viridiplantae; Streptophyta; Magnoliopsida; Poales; Bromeliaceae.